UCAAGCUACAAAGGGCGCAGGGCGAAUGCCUUGGCAUCAGAGGCCGAAGAAAGACGUGGUAAGCUGCGAAAAGCUACGGGGAGCCGCAAGCAGGCAUUGAUCCGUAGAUUUCUGAAUGGAGCAAUCCGGCGAGUGUCAUGACUCGUCAUCCCAUGCUGAAUCAAAUAGGUAUGGGAGGGGAACCGCCUGAACUGAAACAUCUAAGUAGGGCGAGGAAAAGAAAUCAACCGAGAUUCCGUAAGUAGUGGUGAGCGAAAGCGGAGGAGGCUAAACCGAGAGUAGAAAUACUCUUGGGGUUUUGGACUGUAAUGUGUAUUCCAGGAACUAGCUGAAGUGCAUGGGAAGGCACACCAGAGACGGUGAGAGUCCGGUAAGCGAAAGGGAAUGGGAGCUAGCAGGAUCCAGAGUACCGCGGAGCACGUGGAAUUCCGUGGGAAGAUAGGGGGACCACCCUCUAAGCCUAAAUACCAUCUGAUGACCGAUAGCGAAUAGUACUGUGAAGGAACGGUGAAAAGCACCCCGGGAGGGGAGUGAAAGAGAACCUGAAACCCUGUGCCUACAAGCACUGAGAGCACGUCAAGGUGUGAUCAGGUACCUAUUGUAGAAUGGUCCGGCGAGUAUAUGUGUGUAGCAAGGUUAAGCACUGAAGGUGUGGAGCCGAAGGGAAACCAAGUCUGAACAGGGCGUCAAGUUACACGUAUAUGACCCGAAACCGGGUGACCUAUCCAUGAUCAGGUUGAAGUGGGAGUAAAAUCCCAUGGAGGACCGAACCGACCCCCGUUGAAAUGUUGGCGGAUGAAUUGUGGAUAGCGGAGAAAUUCCAAUCGAACUCGGAUAUAGCUGGUUCUCCCCGAAAUAGCUUUAGGGCUAGCCUCAUAAGAGAUUACCGGAGGUAAAGCACUGAAUGGCCUAGGGGUCGAAAGACUACCGAAGCCUAUCAAACUCUGAAUGCCGGAUAAUUGCUUUAUGGGAGUCAGACUACGUGAGAUAAGUUUCGUGGUCAAAAGGGAAAGAGCCCAGACCCACAGCUAAGGUCCCUAAAUACGUUUAAGUGGGAAAGGAUGUGGAACUGCAAAAACAACCAGGAUGUUGGCUUAGAAGCAGCCAUACAUUUAAAGAGUGCGUAAUAGCUCACUGGUCGAGUGAAGUUGCGCGGAAAAUUACCGGGGCUAAGCUAUACACCGAAAUUGCGGAUUUACAUUUGAAAGAUAAUGUAAGUGGUAGAGGAGCAUUCUGUAGUAGGGAGAAGCAUAAGCGAGAGCAUGUGUGGACGAGGCAGAAGAGAGAAUGCUGGAAUAAGUAGCGAGAGCAAGGUGAGAAUCCUUGCCGUCGAAAGUCUAAGGUUUCCUGGGGAAGGUUCGUCCGCCCAGGGUAAGUCGGGACCUAAGGUGAGGCUGAAAAGCGUAGCCGAUGGAUAGCAGGUUGAAAUUCCUGCACUAUAGAUAUACUUAAAAGAUGCAAGGGACGCAGGAGUGGAAGAUAAGCGAGGAAGAGGAAAAACUCGUAUCGCAAGAUAUAGUGAAAAUAAAGUAACGAAUUAUCAAGAAGCACACUGACGAGAAAAGCUUGUAGAUAUUGUAUAUAAAUACCCGUACCGCAAACCGACACAGGUAGAUGAGGAGAGGAUCCUAAGACGAGCGGGAGAAGCAUUGUUAAGGAACUCGGCAAAUUGACCCCGUAACUUAGGGAGAAGGGGUGCCAAGGUAACACUUGGCCGCAGUGAAGAGGUUCAAGCAACUGUUUAACAAAAACACAGGUUUCUGCUAAAUCGAAAGAUGAAGUAUAGGAGCUGACGCCUGCCCAGUGCUGGAAGGUCAAAGGGAAGUGUUAGUAAAAACUUACGAAGCACAGAACUCAAGCCCCAGUGAACGGCGGCCGUAACUAUAACGGUCCUAAGGUAGCGAAAUUCCUUGUCAGGUAAG
RNAcentral lists this ribosomal RNA (1922 nucleotides) under human gut metagenome. RNAcentral's name for it is "bacterial LSU rRNA". It matches the Rfam family "Bacterial large subunit ribosomal RNA", at positions 3 to 1980 of the family's 2925-position model. The record is from RNAcentral.